Molecule: long non-coding RNA, 2570 nt
Organism: Hypanus sabinus (Atlantic stingray)
Lineage: Eukaryota; Metazoa; Chordata; Chondrichthyes; Myliobatiformes; Dasyatidae
Exons: 5
Source: RefSeq, a predicted model, not a curated record
UGCUCAUAUUGGAUUGCUGUCAUGGAAACAGUCAACGUAGCAUGGUGGAUGAAAUGGUUCACUGAAUUUCAUUCUACCUGUGGGAACGUCCUUCCUACUGUAUAGGCCAAAUGUUCAUUCUACCAUCUCUCGUUUCAUCUUGCAAUCAGUAAUUAAGAAACUGCAAUGAAAUGCAAAGGUAUUCUCAACAAAUCCCUGUGCUAAACAUGGGGCUAACGCAAGACACAACUUAACUGAGGGAUUGGCAUAAACAGAUGAACGUUCCAGGUGCCCGGUCACCUAUGGGAAAAGAAGACUGCAUAGCAAAGCAGAAUGAAGAAAACCCCAAUUGAAGAGGGUCCGAUCACAAAGGAUGGAGAUUUGUUUCAAUUGCGAGAAAGGAAGCUACAGAUCCCAGCAAUCUGCGGAAUACUCAGCAGUCAAGCAACGCAAGUGUAACAGGAAACAGAGUUACCAAUUUAUGUCCGAUGGAAUAAUUUUUCACUUCACUGAAAAGUGGUCAUUCUAUGGUUACACUUGCAUCACAAUUUCUCGACUACCAAGAGACUGUCAAAUAGAAUCAGCUUAUGAAAGAAGAAUCUCAGAGAUGCAUACAGCAUACAUACUUUGAUAAAUAAAUGAACCUUUGAAGAAGUGAAAAGCUAAGGGAGCAACGCCAAACCAACUGAUGGCAGCGACUGUAAAUUUGGAACAAUGGGCGGCUGCCCUCUCAACCAGCACCAAGCGACAAAUCACUUGCACCAAAGUCACCCAGAAUUUGGGUGUAGCUGCAACAAUAGUCUGAACAGCAUCAGACAAGCCCAAACCGUUCUCCCCUUUACCAUGGGCGAGUACAUUAAUUGCUCGGUGGUUCUCUAAAAACAUGACAGCAGCUGAAUCAGCUAUACAUGACACUGUGCACCAUCUGCAUCAGGCAAAGCUUGUGGAAAUAUCACUGCAUUUUAAAUCAGGGUUUGCCUGAAAUAACUGAUAUCAGCUCAAAGAAGAUCCUUGGAAAUGCCACAGCCUGUGCAAACGAACACACCAAAAUAAAAAAAGACUGCACCAAUCUGGCCUGGCCAUGACCUUAGAAACUCAAGGGUUUAACGUGCAGUGGGAAUUUACUAAAUAAAAGGAUUUAAGAAUAGAAGUGCAGAGUACUAGUUGUAAGUGUAUUACAAACUGCCAUCUGGUGUAAUCUAAUUUAUCAAAGUCUUCAGCUUGAAAAACCUGCCAAUUAUUAAGGAUUCUUAAAAUGAUGGACUGUACAAGCUAUUAGGAUGUUGAAAAGAACGUCCACUUAAAAUUUCGACUCAUGUUGACAUUUUACUAAAAUUAACAAAAAAAAAUACACAGAACUGAGAACUGAAUUGGACUGUGUGGUGGCUUCAGAGAGUUGAUACAACUUUCAAUCCAGUCCCAGUUGAUGAGUCCAAUCAUCUUUCACGAAUUGGGCUUGAUCAGUUUUGAAAUGGGAAGGAGUUGUCCCACUAAACAGUCUCUAUUUGAGCACUGAAAAGCUUGUACUAGAUGUGAGAACAAACAAAUUGAAUUAUGUAGACGGCAGAGCUUCUCCAACACAGAUAGAAACAAGUUGCUGAAACAGCGAGACAACAGCAAGACAGUUUGAUUGCACCUUUGAUUCAUCAAAUCUCAUCUGAAUUCUGGUGCUGGGAGCCUGAUAAACUCCGAGUCCCCAUCCCCGUCACCCUCUGUGGUAGCAGAGAGAGAGUAAAAGAUAAUUAGGAGGCUAAAAUAUUGAACUUCUGAAAACAACCAAGAAUAUUGCAUUAUUCAAUGGGAUAAACAGUGAUUUUUAACUUCUGUACAGAUCAUUGUCUCUGCAGAAACAGAAAUAUAUUUGUGGGAAAUAAAAACAAAUCUUAAGGGGACAUGAGCUUCUGCAGAUGCUGGAAAUCUUGAGCGACACACGUAAAGAGCUAGAGCAGGGGUCGGCAACCCGCGGCUCUUUCAUCUCUGUGCUGCGGCUCCCUGUGGUUUGUUAGUUUUUGAAAUGUAAUUCGAAAUUUUAAGAUUAUGAUGAUCUUGUACAAUCUAAAAAUGUUGUGAGACCCCAUUUCCUGGCACAUCCGAACCGGCUCACAAUUAGCCACCAUUCCGGCUAAGGGAGAUAGCCUACGGGGGUUUGUGAGUACGUGUCUUUUGGAGCAUCCGCGCCCAUGGGGACGGGUUGAGGGAGGCUUUAAAGCAAGGCUGUUUAGUUCGAAUAAAGUUACCUUUGACUGCAGUGUCUUUAUUUUAGCGCUGCGUGUAGCACACCGCUACAACGUGUUUUUUAUCGCUAUUAAUAUACAUCGCCACUGCCAAUGCCUGACACCCGCCAGUGCGCGCUUUCUUUUAAUUCUUCGAUCCAAGGUAGGCUAACUAUGGAGUAACCUUCAACCCAAUGUCUUUUUUUCGGAGUUCAAAAUGUUUUUGUUGCAUGCAGAAAUGUAAUUUCGUUUUCUCUGCAGGAGUUCAUCAAUUUCAUAAAUGCAACACAUUAUAGUUUGUUUAUACAUAGCAUAAAGGCAAAAUAAAAAACCCGUUGUAUGCAGUGUUAUUUCAUUUUAAAUGUCAAACGGGUUUUG